Molecule: ribosomal RNA, 3008 nt
Filed under: Salmonella enterica subsp. enterica
Lineage: Bacteria; Pseudomonadati; Pseudomonadota; Gammaproteobacteria; Enterobacterales; Enterobacteriaceae
Description: 23S ribosomal RNA
Rfam family: Bacterial large subunit ribosomal RNA
Source: RNAcentral
GGUUAAGCGACUAAGCGUACACGGUGGAUGCCCUGGCAGUCAGAGGCGAUGAAGGGCGUGCUAAUCUGCGAUAAGCGCCGGUAAGGUGAUAUGAACCGUUAUAACCGGCGAUACCCGAAUGGGGAAACCCAGUGUGACUCGUCACACUAUCAUUAACUGAAUCCAUAGGUUAAUGAGGCGAACCGGGGGAACUGAAACAUCUAAGUACCCCGAGGAAAAGAAAUCAACCGAGAUUCCCCCAGUAGCGGCGAGCGAACGGGGAGGAGCCCAGAGCCUGAAUCAGCAUGUGUGUUAGUGGAAGCGUCUGGAAAGGCGCGCGAUACAGGGUGACAGCCCCGUACACAAAAGCGCAUGUGCUGUGAGCUCGAUGAGUAGGGCGGGACACGUGGUAUCCUGUCUGAAUAUGGGGGGACCAUCCUCCAAGGCUAAAUACUCCUGACUGACCGAUAGUGAACCAGUACCGUGAGGGAAAGGCGAAAAGAACCCCGGCGAGGGGAGUGAAAAAGAACCUGAAACCGUGUACGUACAAGCAGUGGGAGCCCCACCACUAAGCCAGUGGUGAACUCCACAUACGCAUCCUUUGCUGAGGAUACGGUUAACGGAGCGAAAGCGACGUUCAACCUCAAAAGAAGCAGAGGGGGCUUAGUGGUGGGGUGACUGCGUACCUUUUGUAUAAUGGGUCAGCGACUUAUAUUCUGUAGCAAGGUUAACCGAAUAGGGGAGCCGGAGGGAAACCGAGUCUUAACCGGGCGUUAAGUUGCAGGGUAUAGACCCGAAACCCGGUGAUCUAGCCAUGGGCAGGUUGAAGGUUGGGUAACACUAACUGGAGGACCGAACCGACUAAUGUUGAAAAAUUAGCGGAUGACCUGUGGCUGGGGGUGAAAGGCCAAUCAAACCGGGAGAUAGCUGGUUCUCCCCGAAAGCUAUUUAGGUAGCGCCUCGUGAAUUCAUCUCCGGGGGUAGAGCACUGUUUCGGCUAGGGGGCCAUCCCGGCUUACCAACCCGAUGCAAACUGCGAAUACCGGAGAAUGUUAUCACGGGAGACACACGGCGGGUGCUAACGUCCGUCGUGAAGAGGGAAACAACCCAGACCGCCAGCUAAGGUCCCAAAGUCAUGGUUAAGUGGGAAACGAUGUGGGAAGGCCCAGACAGCCAGGAUGUUGGCUUAGAAGCAGCCAUCAUUUAAAGAAAGCGUAAUAGCUCACUGGUCGAGUCGGCCUGCGCGGAAGAUGUAACGGGGCUAAACCAUGCACCGAAGCUGCGGCAGCGACACUAUGUGUUGUUGGGUAGGGGAGCGUUCUGUAAGCCUGCGAAGGUGUCUCGUGAGGGAUGCUGGAGGUAUCAGAAGUGCGAAUGCUGACAUAAGUAACGAUAAUGCGGGUGAAAAACCCGCACGCCGGAAGACCAAGGGUUCCUGUCCAACGUUAAUCGGGGCAGGGUGAGUCGACCCCUAAGGCGAGGCCGAAAGGCGUAGUCGAUGGGAAACAGGUUAAUAUUCCUGUACUUGGUGUUACUGCGAAGGGGGGACGGAGAAGGCUAUGUUGGCCGGGCGACGGUUGUCCCGGUUUAAGCGUGUAGGUGUGUGUUCCAGGUAAAUCCGGUUCACUUUAACACUGAGGCGUGAUGACGAGGCACUACGGUGCUGAAGCAACAAAUGCCCUGCUUCCAGGAAAAGCCUCUAAGCAUCAGGUAACAUCAAAUCGUACCCCAAACCGACACAGGUGGUCAGGUAGAGAAUACCAAGGCGCUUGAGAGAACUCGGGUGAAGGAACUAGGCAAAAUGGUGCCGUAACUUCGGGAGAAGGCACGCUGACACGUAGGUGAAGUGAUUUACUCAUGGAGCUGAAGUCAGUCGAAGAUACCAGCUGGCUGCAACUGUUUAUUAAAAACACAGCACUGUGCAAACACGAAAGUGGACGUAUACGGUGUGACGCCUGCCCGGUGCCGGAAGGUUAAUUGAUGGGGUUAUCCGUAAGGAGAAGCUCCUGAUCGAAGCCCCGGUAAACGGCGGCCGUAACUAUAACGGUCCUAAGGUAGCGAAAUUCCUUGUCGGGUAAGUUCCGACCUGCACGAAUGGCGUAAUGAUGGCCAGGCUGUCUCCACCCGAGACUCAGUGAAAUUGAACUCGCUGUGAAGAUGCAGUGUACCCGCGGCAAGACGGAAAGACCCCGUGAACCUUUACUAUAGCUUGACACUGAACACUGGUCCUUGAUGUGCAGGAUAGGUGGGAGGCUUUGAAGCGCGGACGCCAGUUCGUGUGGAGCCAUCCUUGAAAUACCACCCUUUAAUGGCUGGUGUUCUAACGUAGACCCGUGAUCCGGGUUGCGGACAGUGUCUGGUGGGUAGUUUGACUGGGGCGGUCUCCUCCUAAAGAGUAACGGAGGAGCACGAAGGUUAGCUAAUCCUGGUCGGACAUCAGGAGGUUAGUGCAAAGGCAUAAGCUAGCUUGACUGCGAGCGUGACGGCGCGAGCAGGUGCGAAAGCAGGUCUUAGUGAUCCGGUGGUUCUGAAUGGAAGGGCCAUCGCUCAACGGAUAAAAGGUACUCCGGGGAUAACAGGCUGAUACCGCCCAAGAGUUCAUAUCGACGGCGGUGUUUGGCACCUCGAUGUCGGCUCAUCACAUCCUGGGGCUGAAGUAGGUCCCAAGGGUAUGGCUGUUCGCCAUUUAAAGUGGUACGCGAGCUGGGUUUAGAACGUCGUGAGACAGUUCGGUCCCUAUCUGCCGUGGGCGCUGGAGAACUGAGGGGGGCUGCUCCUAGUACGAGAGGACCGGAGUGGACGCAUCACUGGUGUUCGGGUUGUCAUGCCAAUGGCACUGCCCGGUAGCUAAAUGCGGAAGAGAUAAGUGCUGAAAGCAUCUAAGCACGAAACUUGCCCCGAGAUGAGUUCUCCCUGAGACUUAGAGUCUCCUGAAGGAACGUUGAAGACGACGACGUUGAUAGGCCGGGUGUGUAAGCGCAGCGAUGCGUUGAGCUAACCGGUACUAAUGAACCGUGAGGCUUAACCUU